This 73-nucleotide transfer RNA is filed under the name Metschnikowia bicuspidata. It matches the Rfam family "tRNA". From Rfam's summary of the family: Transfer RNA (tRNA) molecules are approximately 80 nucleotides in length. Lineage: Eukaryota; Fungi; Ascomycota; Pichiomycetes; Serinales; Metschnikowiaceae. The record is from Rfam by way of RNAcentral.
GGGUGUGUGGCGCAGUUGGUAGCGCGUUUGCUUUGCAUGCGAAAGUCCUGCGGUUCGAAUCCGGACACGUCCA